Molecule: long non-coding RNA, 5088 nt
Organism: Gallus gallus (chicken)
Lineage: Eukaryota; Metazoa; Chordata; Aves; Galliformes; Phasianidae
Source: Ensembl
CAAGAACACCAGCAACAUGUAAACACAAGCCCCAGAUAAGCUAGAAAGGUUAUCUUUCUUUUAGAAGGCAUCCUUGCUGUGGAUUGAGCCCCAUACGACUUGCAUAUUUUCCAAAGGCAGGAAAUCUCAUUCUCAUGUGCCCAGGAAUAGCACAUGCCUUUGCAUCUGCACUCAUCUCACUUAGAGCCAGCGUGCCUCUGAGCAGCAGGGCUAAGUAACAGCCACCUUGGAUAGGUAUCCCUCCAUGCUAAAUGUGUUUUAAGCCGGAAGCGUUGAGGAGUCCCUUCAGCACACACAGACACCUCAGGAGCCUGAUGCUUUCAGAAGAGCUCAAACCCUACUUAGGUGUUUAAAGAGGAAGCGGCGUUUCAGCAUUAUAUGCCUGUGGACAAAGAAUUUUCCAUCCUGAAAUGGAUUUUGUGGAGCUUGGUGAACCCACUUGGCAAAUACUCUGAUGCAUUAGUGAUGGGGAGUUCAGAAAACGCAGUGAAAUAAUCGCUUUUUAGAGCAGGGCUGGAGCAACAAGCAGCACACAAAGCCUGCAGCCAUGUGAUCACAGAUGCAGAAUAGACCAAAGACCAAAACAGCAGUGCACUGGCAACCUUGUACUCUGAGUGAGGCCUCAUGGUCAGAGGGAUAUGUUUAGGGCCCUCCACAGUGAACCUGAAGACAAGGAUAUCAGAAGACAAAUAGACCUCCAGGUAGGCCAAGGUUUCUUUGUUUACCUGUUUUCUUGUACUUUUCAAAGCAAACUGCUUAAGUCACUCUAAUCCAAUGUCAUGACUUGGGGAAGCUUGAACUGGGACUUUCCAAGCAUGUGAGAUUAGUUACAUACUAUUUAUGUUACAGCUCUGUUUUGCUCUCCUUGCUCAUACAUCCUCUUUGGGCUUGCUCUCUAUCCUGACAUUAGGCUGCAAGUAUUUUUCCUCAGGCACAGCAAGUAUAGAAGUUAGAUACGAGACUGGGAAGCAGAUGGAGCACUCACCAUCUUUUCUCACCUGAGGUUUUCUAGGGAAAGGACAGCUCCACAAUGAGGUUAUGGACAGCUUUGGAAAGUACAACACAGAAGUUCUACUGAAGUUGUCCCCCUUUCGAUCAACGUGGGGUUUUCCCCACCCCACACUUUCUAGCUCUUCCAAGCAUGGAAACUGGGAAACAAUGGAAAAAAUGAGGCAGCCUGCCCUCUCAGAAGACAUUUUGUAAUGUCACUCUGCUUGCCUGCUCACAGCCCGCAGGUGAUGUUGAUCGUGUUUACAGGAAAUGCCGUGAGUAAUUUGCAAAGUGAAAGCAGCUUACACUGGGUGAGGGCCUGUCUGAUGGAACAGAGCCAUGCUGCGUUUCUGGGCUCAUGGGCUGGAGAGGAGCAGCCUGGGAGGAGGUUGUGUAACAAUUCUUCCAAUACUGGUGUAUUGGAAGGACAGCUUGAGGCCAAUGUGACUCUGUCAAAAGGCCUUGCUUAGCAUUGCCACCUUCCUGGAGGAGGCAAAUUCUAGACCCUUUUACACCUCAUCCUUUUUGCCCUCACUCUCUUGUAUAAUCUUGAAUCCAAGAUGCAGCACAGCCUCAGCCCAACAGAACAUACAAGUUAUCUCCUGAAGGACUUGAGGCACCUCUGUCUCUCUCUUCUGGAUGUGGCUCUGGGCAGCCUGGUCUGGUGGUUGGCGACCCUGCACAUAGCAGGGGGGUUGAAACUACAUGAUCAUUGUGGUCCUUUUCAACCCAGGCCAUUCUAUGAUUCUAUGAUUCUCCCUACAUCCUUCUCCUUCCCCCAGUGUAACACUCUACUAACUGCACUCUCCAGACACAAUCUGGAAAGCAUAAGCACCACAGUGCAGAAAAGGCUUGUGCAUCCUUUGCAGAUGCCUACAGCUCCUGGAGACAGCAUGUGGCUGCUGAGCUCCCCAGGUAGUCCUGCUCAUGGCUCGGUGCAAUUCCUGAGUGUGCUGGGAGACCUCCUCCCUUCCCAUGUUUCCUUGAAAUCCUCUACUUCUCAGUCAGAGUGCAAAUCUGGGUUAUAUCAUGUAAUUUCUUCCCAGUAAAUGCUGGUCUCUCCACUCACUCUUUGCAUCACCCACUGUCUGCUGUGGUUCCCAGGCUGGUUGUGUUUUUUUUCCCAGCCUGUGAAGGUCUGACGAUGCUAGUGAAAUUACACAAGGCACAAAUGAGGAGAAUGGAGUAGAAGCCCAAAGAUGUGCCUCCUAGCAGGAUUUAUCUGGGGAGCUCCUUCCCUGUCCGCAGAGCGUAGCAACCUGCCAGGGACAUGGAGGCACAUAGAGGGAGGUGCAGAAGAAACAAGGAGGAAUGUGGAGGAAGAUGGAGGACUUUGAAGUAAUGUUGAGGGAGAUGGUUCCUUAGGAUGUGUCUCAAUGGGCAGGUGAGGGCAGACCCAAAUUAAUUGCACCCACACCACAUCACUCAGGUGCAAGGCACUUCUAGCCCAGAAGCUGUGUGACUCUGCAGGCAGCACUGUGCCAACAUGGGGCAAAACCUGCAGUUUGGCUCAAUACCCACCUGGCGUUGGAUGCAAACAAACCUGUGAGUCCUACACCAAGUCUACAUCUUGGCCUGCCUUCUUCAGUUCACUCCGUUGGUACAGCUGGGCUCUCAGUGAACCAGAAAGUGUGAGGUUUGCCAGAACUGAAGAGCGUGUGAAUGGGUUUGUGAAGCUAAGCCUGCCUGAACUGGAGGGCUUUUGCAUGACUGUGAAGGAAAGAGCUUAAUUCUUCUUUAUGACCUGCUUCAAAUAAAGCUACAGCAACCAAAUGGACCGUGCUGUGUGAAACCCAACAUCAUGCUCGUCCCAGCAGACUGACGGAGAUCAAAAAUUACCUUAUCACCUGGAGGUCUGCAGAGAAGCCAAGAGAUGUUGAAACCUCCCACCACCUCCAACAUCAAAGGCUGCAGCAGGUAUCUUUCCAGGUGCUUUUUCACAGCCAGCCUCAGUGAAAGCUCCCAUUCAAAAGGCAGUAACUCGGGAACAUUAGGUGUAGCUUCUGGUGGCUGAACCGGUUAAAGUUACCCUUCAAUGUCACCAGAAUAGCACACUAAAAGGGGAAAUUCAAGGAGGAAAACAAAAAGAGUCCUACCUAGGGGAUUGGCUGCUUUACAGGGGCUGGUAAUGAGAUCAUACUGCCAUGAUUCAAGGUCACAAAUUUGACUUUAGAUAAGGUGUAGCAACAGCCUCAAUCUGUAAUGGUGACUGUUCAGCAGCCUGUGUGACAUUAAUGGGUAGUCUCUUGUAGCCUUUUAAUUUAACAAGGUGAUUGCUAUAAGUUUUGUAAAAAAAUACCUCCAAACACAACUACUAAAAUGAGCUGGCGUGUGAUAGUGAACAACAAAGUUCACUGAAGCCUUUUGUACUGAUGCAUUGAAUGAUGAUGUAUUCACACCACUUUGCUGUUCUUUGUUAGAGCUUUAGGGCAGAGAUGUUAACAAAGGAUGUUCUGUAUAUUUGCAACAUAACAAAAUAAAAGAUUUUUUUUCCAGUAGGGCAUAACUACUAUCACAUAUGACUCUAACUUUAAAUGUGCCAUAAGGUAGCAGCACUGUCCAGAAGCUAGGCCUCUUCUACCUUUCAGCUUGCUGAGAACAACUUGUCUGAAAAGAUGCAGGCUGCUUUCUGCUCUGUACCUUUGUGCAGGGAGAAUUCAGAGUUCCUGGUGCAGUCCCAUCGUGCUGUGCUCGCCUCCUUUAGAGUUCACUGUAUUAAAGAUGAAGGUGCAGUCCUGAUGUCUCAUUCUGUGUAUAAAACAGAGAUUUUUGAAUAUUGGAGAAUCUGCAGCCCAAAAAAGCCUGCUGGGGAGCAGAAGACACACUGGAUUCAUGUUUGCAUGUAGUCAAAUUUACAUGAUGUUUUAUGCAUCCAGAAGAGUUAACAUCCUCCCUUUUCUUUCACGUCGAAUGGAUGCUAUGGUUUUAUGUGGGGAUGAGCAACACUUACGACAGAUAAGCUGACAAAACACAGCAAAAUCCUGGGUGUCUGCAACAUCAACAGUUAGGCUGGUGUUUCCAUGUCCCUGCUGAGGAUGGAAAAUGUUUUGCCAUCACUCUUCCUACAUACACAGUCCCAAAGUGUUCAGAAGGGCUACAUUUCUAGUGAAAUGAUCUUCAAGUGUUGUGUUGUCAUGAUAGAGAGAAGAUGGACUCAGUUCUCAGAGACCACAGUACAAUACGGAGCUUGUAGCUGAGCUUCAGUAGGAUGUUUUUAACAGUCUGAUAUCUGGAAAGUCUUUUUUCCUAAGUGGUCAGUUACUGCAAGCAAAAUGACCUUCUCCUCCUUUUGUCAGGAUUAAUUCCUGCAAACCAUACUGUAUUUUUCUCUAUGCUUGUCUGCUAACUAUGUAGAAAGUGCUAAGCAAUCGUGCAUAAUUCAUUACUCUUAAUUAAAAUGUAAAUUUAUUGUCAGCCUUUUGGGGUAAUUAAAGCACCACUGUGAGAAUAGGUUUGUGUUCUGUAUCUUUUGCAAAAAUAAACAAAUAACGUUUUAUGUUCUGCUUGAAGAGGUGCAGUUGAUCACCAAGUGGGACGCAACUGAACUUCCAGAGAAGGUCUGUCAGUUAGCAUAUAUCUAAUAUUCAACAGGGUGUGAAUCUACUUUGCUAUAAAGUGAGCUGUCUUAUUUGCUGCGGAGUUAGAUGCUUGUGUUUCGGUUUUUGGCAUAGAUGGAAAGUAUUAUUUAUAGGUAUACUUCUACAUUCCCCCCCAAAAUCCAGACUAUUUUAUUGGCCUCCAGCUGCUCCUCAGAAGCCUACAGAGAUACAUUCGAUGUAUUGCAGUGCCUACUGUAAACACCCUAUUUACCAGAGCAUUUGCAGGUUAGAUUAGGCUUCAUAAUUUAUAGACCUUGAAGCUCCCCAUGCAGUUGGGUAUCUACAAAGUGAAGGACUAAGUGCAUGAAAAAAACAAUCUUCCACAAGGAAGUGGGGUAGUGAAAGGGUGCGCAGCGUGAGACUUAGUAGUAAUUGUAGUAGAAUUGUCCUUGAAGUUUUGCAGAAUGUAGUGACGGCGAUCUUGAGACUGUGGAUGAAGAGUGGAUAUUAGGAAACAUUUCUUCUCAGGAAGAGUGGUGAGGCGCUGGCACAGGCUGCC